This is a long non-coding RNA of Sinocyclocheilus anshuiensis, 2238 nucleotides long. The record is from Ensembl. Lineage: Eukaryota; Metazoa; Chordata; Actinopteri; Cypriniformes; Cyprinidae.
GUUGCCGUGAAGGGUCCGUGAUUGGCUUUGGGGCUCGCUGUGUGCUGAAUAAUCCGCCUUUCUCUCUGAUUGAUUUCAAAAUUAUUCAUUCUUUGUAUUUUUUUGCUUUUUAGGUGAAACUGUUGAGGAUCAGUCACAGAAGAUUCAGUCCAUGAACAUUGAGCAGCCCACAACAAAUGUAAUAGUACAACCAUCUAAUCCAUCCAGUGCCGGGAACAGAGGAAUUACAGAGACAACUCGGCCUUCCUCCCAGCCCACGUCUGCCAAGAUGUCCUCAGAAACACACGCUGUAGACGCCACCCCGGCCCUCCCUGAGCUUCUAGGAGACAUACCUUUCACUUUAGCACCACACAUCGUGGCCAUGCAGGCGGGCCUGCCCUUUGUAACAGAUGUCACCUUGCCUCACAACAUAAAUGACAAACUAGCCAACUUUCGUUAUGACUUCACCUUGGAGAACUCGGUGCUUUGUGAGCCGUGACUCUUUGCCCAUCAGUUAUAUCACUAAACGCGUGGUGAACUAUGGGCCUUUGGUUGUCAAGAUCCUCUUUAACCACUUGCCUCUUAAAUAAACGAAUAUCUAGUUUAGCUGACAAAAAUCAGUCACUGACUAGAGGGUGUUGGGCUGGACUGAACAUACUGUCCUUUUAGUUUAAAUAAGUUAGCAUCAAGAUGGUUUGCCAUCCCUCAGGAUCCCGCACUUGAUUGUGAGAUGAGCAUUACUGCCUUGUUUUAACGCAGUACACGAGUAUUUAUAAGAUGACCUGUGGCUUUACGUUUUUCAAAUGUAGUUCAAAUUUUACGGGUGUAAUAUCUGUGCAAUUUUGCAUUUCAACUCUGUUGGGGUCCUGGUAGCAUAAAAUGAUAUGCUGAACUGAAAUAGGGUUGUUUUGAAACUGCUCUGUUUCUUAGUAGUUGCUUUGGGCUGUUUGAUGUUUCAGACGUCACUGUCUGUGUUGGCCUUCCUUAGUUUUUUCUUACUUCUGCAAAAACUCACUGUAAUUUAUGGAAUCGGUUUUAAGAUCAUUGACUGAAAACAGUCAUGAUACAUAGGAAAUGUAUUUUAUAGUAAUCUAUCUCUCAGUGAUCUUUAAACAUAUGUAAAAUAAAUAAUUCAGUAAUAGAAGUAUUUUAUUCAAAUACAAAUUAUAUUUAAAAAAAUGUAUAUUAAAAAUGGCAAUCGUAAUGGCCUUUUGGCUAGUCCACUAUUUACUGUAACUCUACUUUUAGUACCUAUAAACCUUAAAGGCGAAAAAAACACUCCCUGUCUGCUAUUGGUCAGUCAAACAGAUAGUCCCGCCCUAAACGGUUGCUAUUGGUUGAGUCAGAUGGCUGGUUGGGAUGUGCAAACAGAACAAUGUCCUGAUACUGACUAGUGUUUUGCACUUUUAAGGGGAAUCAGGAUAGAAUAUUGCUUACUUGUAGUUGUCUCUGCAUAUAAUGCUGGGAUAUGAAGUAUUUUUACAUCACAAAAAUUACGCACAUCACUUUAAGUUCCUUAUGAAUGGAUUGCACUUAAAAUCACGAAACACAUUGAAGGGCUUUUUAUAAAUAGGCCGAUAUCAUAUCUCUUUGUUCAUAAAAGAAUGCUUUUGUCUUCUGUUUGUGUGAAUAUGCAUACCUCGACUGGUGUUGUUUGGCUUUAAUGCAUGAUGUUUUGAAGUUCUGCCUAAACAUGACACACCCCAUUUUGGGAGGCAGAUAUGUAUUCUGUUUAAGUUUGAUUGCAAAAACAUGCACAUGGGUUUUAGUAGGAUUUACUGUUCUGUUUGGAUAGGCCACACAGUUGUUGAGCUGUUUUUUCUUGUUUUUCUUUCAUCUGAAUUUCAGUUAAUUGGAUGGGUUUUAUCAUCGUGCGUGCUGCUAUUUACACAAUGCACUCAGGAGUUUAGCUGUUUCUCCUUUACAUCCUCUGUACUUUACUUGAUAGCAGUUUAGUUUAUUUACUUGAUACCAUUUCAUAUCUCACUUAAAAAAAAACAUAUUUUAUUAGUCUGUGUUUUGAUUUGUCUGUCUUUCGGACAUGGUUAUUUUAUCCAAGCUUCCUCCUAAUGUAUCUGACUGACCUAUCCUUUUCAAAACAUUGUACUGAAGUAAUCAAAGUUGUGUUUGCUCUAUAAAAAUGUCUGUAAAAUAAUUUAAUCACCUUAACUCCUUUGUUGGAUUCCUUAUUGAUUCAUAUCUGGAACAGAAUUCAUCAUUGUUUCUGAUCCCACAUGAUGUUUAAAUUCUGAGCAUGUA